GGAUUUUUUAAUCUUAGUCAAUUGUUUGGGUUCAUCAAAUUUGUUGAAAAUGGCAAGAUCCCAAGGGAUUUAUUUGUUACCAGAUUAUAGAAUGGGACAAUUUAUUUUAUCUGCAACACAGUGUUAACACAAACACUUACAAGUUUAAGGAAGAGAUUUUGCAAGUGGGAGCUGGCUUUGAAAAAUUGUGGAGAAAACUUUUAUAGCAAGAUAUCAGCUGACAUGGUGGAGUAAAAAGAAAAGCAGGUAUGAGAGGUCAACUAAUAAUAAGAAAGUCAAAAGGUGUGAGCUGACGGGUUCCUAAAUCAAGCUCGAGGUAUGUUAAUAUGGCAAGCUCAAUAUGUGAUGAGUCUUUGUGGAAGGUGAUAUAGAUGUUGAUUUAGUUCAACAUCAAGAACCCAUUGUAAAAUCUUUUCAUAUUUGGAAUCAACGUCAAUGUUGUUUUGCUUGGUCUUGGGGUCACAUGCUCCACACAAGGUGAUUAUAGAGUAG
This 492-nucleotide long non-coding RNA is filed under the name Helianthus annuus (common sunflower). RNAcentral describes it as "hypothetical non coding rna". The record is from RNAcentral. Lineage: Eukaryota; Viridiplantae; Streptophyta; Magnoliopsida; Asterales; Asteraceae.